Molecule: ribosomal RNA, 284 nt
Filed under: uncultured bacterium
Lineage: Bacteria
Description: partial 16S ribosomal RNA
Rfam family: Bacterial small subunit ribosomal RNA
Source: RNAcentral
AAAGCUUGCUUUCUUUGCUGGCGACCGGCGCACGGGUGAGUAACACGUAUCCAACCUGCCCUUUACUCGGGGAUAGCCUUUCGAAAGAAAGAUUAAUACCCGAUGGCAUAGUUCUUCCGCAUGGUAGAACUAUUAAAGAAUUUCGGUUAUCGAUGGGGAUGCGUUCCAUUAGGCAGUUGGUGGGGUAACGGCCCACCAAACCUUCGAUGGAUAGGGGUUCUGAGAGGAAGGUCCCCCACAUUGGAACUGAGACACGGUCCAAACGCCUACGGGAGGCAGCCAUG